UUGCUUCAGCAGCACCUAGACUAAAACUGGAACAAUACAGAGAAGAUUAGCAUGGCCUCUGUGCAAGAAGGACUUGCAAAUUCGUGAUGCGUUCCACAUUUUU
Hyaena hyaena (striped hyena) is the source of this 103-nucleotide small nuclear RNA. NCBI's taxonomy places the organism in Eukaryota, Metazoa, Chordata, Mammalia, Carnivora, Hyaenidae. The record is from RefSeq and is a predicted model, not a curated record.